GGUUGAUCCUGCCAGUAGUGUACGCUUGUCCAAAAGAUUAAGCCAUGCAUGUGCAAGUACAGCCCUUUGUACGGUGAAACUGCGAACGGCUCAUUAUAUCAGUUAUAAUCUACUUGAUGAUUUCUUACUACUUGGAUAACCGUGGUAAUUCUACAGCUAAUACAUGCCGCAAGGCCCUCUUUGGUGGGGGCAGCAUUUAUUAGAUAAAACCAAUGACAGAGCAAUCUGUGCAUGGCGAGUCAUGAUAACUGGGCGGAUCGUAUGGCCUUGGUGCUGACGACGCUUCAUUCGAG
Molecule: ribosomal RNA, 293 nt
Filed under: uncultured eukaryote
Lineage: Eukaryota
Description: partial 18S ribosomal RNA
Rfam family: Eukaryotic small subunit ribosomal RNA
Source: RNAcentral